Molecule: ribosomal RNA, 253 nt
Filed under: uncultured bacterium
Lineage: Bacteria
Description: partial 16S ribosomal RNA
Rfam family: Bacterial small subunit ribosomal RNA
Source: RNAcentral
UACGUAGGUGGCGAGCGUUGUCCGGAAUUACUGGGUGUAAAGCGCGCGUAGGCGGGAGGCCAAGUCCGCUGUGAAAUCGCCCGGCUCAACUGGGCGCGGUCGGUGGAAACUGGUCACCUGGAGGACGGUAGAGGCGAGUGGAAUUCCCGGUGUAGUGGUGAAAUGCGUAGAGAUCGGGAGGAGCACCAGUGGCGAAGGCGGCUCGCUGGGCCGGCCCUGACGCUGAGGCGCGAAGGCGUGGGGAGCGAACAGG